CCCCCACCAAGGUGCUGGACUGGGUUCUUCAAGGGGCCACCUGAAGCAGGACUUUUUCCCACACUGAAGUCACCAACUGACAGCAGAAACAGGUCCCCCAUCUUUGGGAUAUCUCCCAGGUCUGCUCCCAGUAGAAUGUCUAAGAAAUCUUUGAUGACCAGUGCAAUCUGUGGAGGUUAUACACUUGGAGGAAGGGACAGCACACGCUGAUAGUUUGCAGUGGUGGGAAGACCAUCUGAUCCAGAGGCAGGAAGACAAGUAAAAUGACUUCUUAGAGCCCCUUCCUGCUUUCCCAGCUCCCCUCCCCCGUCUCAAGCAUCUGAUCCCAGACCUAUUUCAGAAUCUCCUAUCUUUUUGCUCAGUGGAAGCAGUGAUAUGACAUGAUGUGAUCUCAUUUGAGAGCUAAAUAAAGCCGUUGUGUGAGACCCAGCCCUGGCCUCUCCCAUGCACCAUUUCCUGAGCUCAAGAGGCUAAGGGAAAAUGGGAGGGGGGCUAGGAGAGUUAAUCUAAUGGAAAAAGAAGCAACACGAUGAUGGGAGCCCCAGUUUGAAUUUCAGACAGUGGAGGAGGGAAUAUUGCUAGGAGGGAGUUGAGGAAGCCUUGCUAAACUUCAUCUCUUUGAGGGACAGAAUAAAAAGUAUUGGCAUCAUAGCAUAGCCAUUUGGAAACAAGUUCUAGGGUGGGUUGGGAAAUCUCCAGGAGCCCUGACCUCAUCUUCCACCUCAGCAACCAUGACCUGAAACCUCAGCGUGAAUUUGGGGGAUUUUUCAGUGGAACCCCUGCCCCCAAAUGUCGACCAGCCCCAGUUUUUUUUUUUCUUGACAAUUUUGUUGUUUAAAAAAAAAAUUCAGGGAAAAUUAAAAACCUGGAACUCC
This 875-nucleotide small RNA is filed under the name Pongo abelii (Sumatran orangutan). RNAcentral's name for it is "processed transcript". Lineage: Eukaryota; Metazoa; Chordata; Mammalia; Primates; Hominidae. The record is from RNAcentral.